RNAcentral lists this microRNA precursor (130 nucleotides) under Hordeum vulgare. Its description in RNAcentral is "microRNA MIR1122". It matches the Rfam family "MIR1120/MIR1122 microRNA precursor family". The record is from RNAcentral. Lineage: Eukaryota; Viridiplantae; Streptophyta; Magnoliopsida; Poales; Poaceae.
CUCAUACUCCAUCCGUCCGGAAAUACUUGUCCUAGAAAUGAAUAUAAUUGAUGUAUCUAUUAUUUUAGUUAUAGAUACAUCAAUUAUAUUUAUUUUUAUGACAAGUAUUUUCGGACGGAGGGAGUACCUU